GAUGAAGAACGUAGCGAAAUGCGAUAAGUAAUGCGAAUUGCAGAAUUCAGUGAAUCAUCGAAUCUUUGAACGCACAUUGCGCCCGCCAGUACUCUGGCGGGCAUGCCUGUCUGAGCGUCAUUUCAACCCUCGCGCCCGGCUUCUGUCGGGGGCGGUGUUGGGGAUCGGCCUCCCGUCUUCCGGGCGGCCGGCCCCUAAAUGGAGUGGCGACCGCGCCGUAGCCUCCUCUGCGUAGUAGUGAAACACUCGCGGGCGGAGAGCGGUGCGGCCCGCCGUAAAACCCCCAACUCUUCUAAGGUUGACCUCAGAUCAGGUAGGAAUACCCGCUAAACUUAAGCAUAUCAAUAAGCGGAGG
RNAcentral lists this unclassified non-coding RNA (355 nucleotides) under soil metagenome. RNAcentral's name for it is "partial contains 5.8S ribosomal RNA, internal transcribed spacer 2, and large subunit ribosomal RNA". The stretch from base 1 to 120 matches the Rfam family "5.8S ribosomal RNA", at positions 35 to 154 of the family's 154-position model. The record is from RNAcentral.